This 75-nucleotide transfer RNA is filed under the name compost metagenome. RNAcentral's name for it is "tRNA-Arg". It matches the Rfam family "tRNA". Rfam says of the family: Transfer RNA (tRNA) molecules are approximately 80 nucleotides in length. The record is from RNAcentral.
AGUAGCUUGGCCGAUUGGACGAGGCGCUGGUCUACGAAGCCAGUUAGGUAGGUUCGAUCCCUACAGUUACUACCA